Molecule: ribosomal RNA, 471 nt
Filed under: uncultured bacterium
Lineage: Bacteria
Description: bacterial SSU rRNA
Rfam family: Bacterial small subunit ribosomal RNA
Source: RNAcentral
AGCCUAACACAUGCAAGUCGAACGGUAGCACAGAGGAGCUUGCUCCUUGGGUGACGAGUGGCGGACGGGUGAGUAAUGUCUGGGAAACUGCCUGAUGGAGGGGGAUAACUACUGGAAACGGUAGCUAAUACCGCAUAACGUCGCAAGACCAAAGAGGGGGACCUUCGGGCCUCUUGCCAUCAGAUGUGCCCAGAUGGGAUUAGCUAGUAGUGGGGUAAUGGCUCACCUAGCGACGAUCCCUAGCUGGUCUGAGAGGAUGACCAGCCACACUGGAACUGAGACACGGUCCAGACUCCUACGGGAGGCAGCAGUGGGGAAUAUUGCACAAUGGGCGCAAGCCUGAUGCAGCCAUGCCGCGUGUAUGAAGAAGGCCUUCGGGUUGUAAAGUACUUUCAGCGAGGAGGAAGGCAUUAAGGUUAAUAACCUUGUGUGAUUGACGUUACUCGCAGAAGAAGCACCGGCUAACUCCGU